This 496-nucleotide ribosomal RNA is filed under the name uncultured bacterium. Its description in RNAcentral is "partial 16S ribosomal RNA". It matches the Rfam family "Bacterial small subunit ribosomal RNA", at positions 29 to 507 of the family's 1533-position model. The record is from RNAcentral.
AUGAACGCUGGCGGCGUGCCUAAUACAUGCCAGUCGAGCGAACAGACGAGGAGCUUGCUCCUCUGACGUUAGCGGCGGACGGGUGAGUAACACGUGGAUAACCUACCUAUAAGACUGGGAUAACUUCGGGAAACCGGAGCUAAUACCGGAUAAUAUAUUGAACCGCAUGGUUCAAUAGGGAAAGACGGUUUUGCUGUCACUUAUAGAUGGAUCCGCGCCGGAUUAGCUAGUUGGUAAGGUAACGGCUUACCAAGGCGACGAUGCGUAGCCGGCCUGAGAGGAUGAUCAGACACACUGGAACUGAGACACGGUCCAGACUCCUACGGGAGGCAGCAGUGGGGAAGAUUGGACAAUGGGCGCAAGCCUGAUCCAGCCAUACCGCGUGGGUGAAGAAGGCCUUCGGGUUGUAAAGCCCUUUUGUUGGGAAAGAAAAGCAGCAGGUUAAUACCCCGCUGUUCUGACGGUACCCAAAGAAUAAGCACCGGCUAACUUCGUG